This 426-nucleotide ribosomal RNA is filed under the name uncultured Pseudomonadota bacterium. RNAcentral describes it as "bacterial SSU rRNA". It matches the Rfam family "Bacterial small subunit ribosomal RNA", at positions 356 to 774 of the family's 1533-position model. Lineage: Bacteria; Pseudomonadati; Pseudomonadota. The record is from RNAcentral.
GGGGAAUAUUGGACAAUGGGCGAAAGCCUGAUCCAGCCAUGCCGCGUGUGUGAAGAAGGUCUUCGGAUUGUAAAGCACUUUAAGUUGGGAGGAAGGGCUGCAAGUUAAUACCUUGUAGUUUUGACGUUACCAACAGAAUAAGCACCGGCUAACUCCGUGCCAGCAGCCGCGGUAAUACGGAGGGUGCAAGCGUUAAUCGGAAUUACUGGGCGUAAAGCGCACGUAGGCUGCUUUGUAAGUCAGGGGUGAAAUCCCACGGCUCAACCGUGGAACUGCCUUUGAUACUGCUUAGCUUGAAUCCGGGAGAGGGUGGCGGAAUUCCAGGUGUAGGAGUGAAAUCCGUAGAUAUUUGGAGGAACAUCAGUGGCGAAGGCGGCCAACUGGACCGGUAUUGACGCUGGGGUGCGAAAGCGUGGGGAGCAAACA